UAAACGACUCUCGGCAACGGAUAUCUCGGCUCUCGCAUCGAUGAAGAACGUAGCGAAAUGCGAUACUUGGUGUGAAUUGCAGAAUCCCGCGAACCAUCGAGUCUUUGAACACAAGUUGCGCCCGAAGCCAUUAGGUUGAGGGCACGUCUGCCUGGGCGUCUCAC
This 164-nucleotide ribosomal RNA is filed under the name Camellia euphlebia. Its description in RNAcentral is "5.8S ribosomal RNA". It matches the Rfam family "5.8S ribosomal RNA". From Rfam's summary of the family: 5.8S ribosomal RNA (5.8S rRNA) is a component of the large subunit of the eukaryotic ribosome. It is transcribed by RNA polymerase I as part of the 45S precursor that also contains 18S and 28S rRNA. Functionally, it is thought that 5.8S rRNA may be involved in ribosome translocation. Lineage: Eukaryota; Viridiplantae; Streptophyta; Magnoliopsida; Ericales; Theaceae. The record is from RNAcentral.